GAAGCUUCUCGGCCUUUUGGCUAAGAUCAAGUGUAGAAGCUUCCUCCUAGUUGUUGUUGUUUUUUAGGGGGAUUUGUGAUGACCACGGGUUUAUUUGUAUGCAAAUCCAGCACUUUGAGUUUCUCAUACAGUGUUUAUUAAUGCUCCCCUC
Podarcis lilfordi (Lilford's wall lizard) is the source of this 151-nucleotide non-coding RNA. The record is from the annotation of a GenBank genome assembly. Lineage: Eukaryota; Metazoa; Chordata; Lepidosauria; Squamata; Lacertidae.